GACACUGGCAAGGCUCUUCCUGGGGCUAGAGGAUGAGUGGCGGGAGAAAGUUCCAGAACCCACCAGCCAGAAGCCCAGAUAACUGUCUGCCCAAGGCUGUGUGAUGGAAAUACAGACGCUCUCGCCUAAACCCAGUUCCUCACCACUUCCCCUCACUUUUCAGUGCCAUUUCUUCCCACAUUUGGCUGUUUGUUUUUUCUUUUUCCACAUUUGGAUACCUAUUAUGAGGGAUCUUUCCUUUGCUUUCUAGCAUGUUCCUCCACCCCCACCCCUUUUCCCUCUAUUAAUCAAGAGAAACUUCAAAGUCAAUGGGAUGGUCGGAUCUCACAGGCUGAGAACUCGUUCACCUCCAAGCAUUUCAUGAAAAAGCUGCUUCUUAUUAAUCAUGCAAACUCUUGCCACGAUGUGAAGGGUUUGACAAAUCUUUCAAAAUAAAAAGUAAUGACUUAGAAACUGCCUUCCUGAGUGAGUUUCCGUGUAUCUUGGUGACCUCAUUUCCCUGACACGUGACAUACAUGUGCACACACGACUGUGCAAACACAAAGCUUUGCAAAUAUAUGACUAUGAUUUUGUAUACACCCCUGUGUACACACACACACAGGCUUACUCAUACGUGGGGUAGGUAUGGGGUACCUACAAGCACGGGUUUAGCUUUCUUUUAAUUUUAUGACCUGUGGGCUGACCUUCUUCAUGACUGUACUUCAUUAUCCAAGCACCAGGCUAAGCAAUGCUCUCCUUUCACUAACCAUUCGCUCAUUCAUUCACUAAGUGUUUAUGAUGCGUCUACCAUGGACAGAUCCCUUCCCAGGUGCCAGAGGCACCAAUGUGGCCAAGCAGACAAAGCACUGGUUCUUCUGGAACUUAGGGUCUAGUGAGGAAUACAUUAAAGAAUUGUACAACUAAGUAUAAACGACGGCUGUGAUAGGUGCUCUGAGAGAAGACUGUAAGAAAACAGGAGUGUGUGUUGCAGGACGACACAGCCUUAUUCCCGAGGUGCACUGUCUUCAGAUGGUAGCCACUUCCUGUGCAUGGC
RNAcentral lists this long non-coding RNA (1033 nucleotides) under Sus scrofa (pig). RNAcentral's name for it is "lncRNA (ENSSSCG00050059791.1)". The record is from RNAcentral. Lineage: Eukaryota; Metazoa; Chordata; Mammalia; Artiodactyla; Suidae.